CCUACGGGGGGCAGCAGUGAGGAAUAUUGGUCAAUUUUCUCUAUCCUUAACCAUCCAAUUAUCUUUAAUUAUUACUUCCCUACUUUUUUUCCCCUUCUUUUCUCCAUUCAUACCGUGAGGCACGUGUGCCUUUUUGUAUGUACUUUAUGAAUAAGGAUCGGCUAACUCCGUGCCAGCAGCCGCGGUAAUACGGAGGAUCCGAGCGUUAUCCGGAUUUAUUGGGUUUAAAGGGAGCGUAGAUGGGUUGUUAAGUCAGUUGUGAAAGUUUGCGGCUCAACCGUAAAAUUGCAAUUGAUACUGGCAGCCUUGAGUACAGUUGAGGUAGGCGGAAUUCGUGGUGUAGCGGUGAAAUGCUUAGAUAUCACGAAGAACUCCGAUUGCGAAGGCAGCCUACUAAACUGCCACUGACAUUGAUGCUCGAAAGUGUGGGUAUCAAACAGGAUUAGAUACCCGGGUAGUC
RNAcentral lists this ribosomal RNA (460 nucleotides) under uncultured bacterium. RNAcentral's name for it is "partial 16S ribosomal RNA". It matches the Rfam family "Bacterial small subunit ribosomal RNA", at positions 338 to 795 of the family's 1533-position model. The record is from RNAcentral.